CACGCCCGCCGGGUCACCAGAAAGGGAGGGCCAAGUCAGCACCAGUAGUGCUGACUCGGCCCUCCCUUUCUGCUGACUCGGCCCUUGCG
This 89-nucleotide microRNA precursor is filed under the name Nocardioides lianchengensis. Its description in RNAcentral is "microRNA MIR1846". It matches the Rfam family "MIR1846 microRNA precursor family", at positions 1 to 86 of the family's 110-position model. Lineage: Bacteria; Bacillati; Actinomycetota; Actinomycetes; Propionibacteriales; Nocardioidaceae. The record is from RNAcentral.